ACACCCGCGGAUGGGGUGACUUUGACAUAAUCAAAGAUCAAGGACUUAACCACAAGACAAAUGUGAUGCCUCAGGUCAAAGGACUACUUUGCAUUAUCCCAACCAUGAGUUCUCAUGUGACAUGAUAUGAGAACUCUUCGUUGAUCGUGUUCAGUGAACUCAUUCUCUAUUGAGCACCUACGUACUUGUCUUGAUGUCACACACACUGAUGCGAAAUAUAUAAGCACACAAAUUAAACCCUCUCUUUUUAUCAAUUGUAGCAAGUAUGUAAGUAGGGAUCGUUCUAGGCCGGGGAUUAGGAGGAGGGAUUGCCAAAUCACUUGAAAACUGACUCAAAACUUAAAAACAAAGUUUAAAACACUAAACUAGACUCAAAGAAUGCAAAACUAAACCUUAAAACACUAAGACAAACCAAAAGACUCAAAACAGCAAACAAACACUCAAAACUGCUUUAAAACCACUUUCUGGGCAGUUUUGAGCACUAGGGAAGAAUUUGGAUGAAAAUUGGUUCUAACUUGACUCAAGA
RNAcentral lists this long non-coding RNA (526 nucleotides) under Malus domestica (apple). Its description in RNAcentral is "long non-coding RNA (MDOM_LNC020512)". Lineage: Eukaryota; Viridiplantae; Streptophyta; Magnoliopsida; Rosales; Rosaceae. The record is from RNAcentral.